GGUUCUUCCACUGCACCUGUCUUACCAUUCCAUCCAAUGCCGUCGUCGGAGGCUUCGCAUGUCUGUAUUCAUUUUUGGAUUCUACCGAAAUGUGGGACGUGACGGUCUUUGAUGUAACUGACGGGAGUGCUUCCUGAACAAUUGCUGGUCAGGCUGCCGUAAACUCGAUGCGAGUUCUUUGAAAAGUGCUGAAAGAGUUUUUUGAGGAUUUUUCGUGAGGCGACAUCUGCUACGUUCUUUCACUGUGCAUGUGCGUUGCAGCCAGCAAAACCUUACUGGCCCGAAGCAAACCGGUUAGCAGACGUCGGUUUAGGAGAUUGGUACUACCAAAUUGUGGAUCAGUUAUAAUGAUAUGUAAAAUUUUUUUGUACGUAUGGUUAACUUACGUCGAGAUGUUAA
This is a long non-coding RNA of Daphnia carinata, 399 nucleotides long. RefSeq lists it as uncharacterized. NCBI's taxonomy places the organism in Eukaryota, Metazoa, Arthropoda, Branchiopoda, Diplostraca, Daphniidae. The transcript has 3 exons. The record is from RefSeq and is a predicted model, not a curated record.